RNAcentral lists this long non-coding RNA (982 nucleotides) under Homo sapiens (human). RNAcentral describes it as "novel transcript". Lineage: Eukaryota; Metazoa; Chordata; Mammalia; Primates; Hominidae. The record is from RNAcentral.
AGUAAGUGACUUGAUCUCGGCGCUGGCAGAUGGUGGAGCUAUCAGAGCUGCAGCUGCCUUGGCUGCACACAUCCCUCUCGAGGGAGCUUUCCAGUCAUUUAGCUCCACUGCGGACUCAGAGCCAAAAUUAACAGUCUCCGGUGGGCCCUCAAAGCUCACCACCCACCCAAACACUCUGGCUUGCUGUCAUUCAACAGAUAGCCAGUGGGGAGCGGGGCCCAGACUCACCCUCCCUGCCCACCACCCGCAAGAGGAAACAGCACCACCACCUCUUGUGCCACAGCUGGGCCGGUCCCAGGAAGAAGCCAGCUGGGACUUGGAGUGACAAGCCUUCCCUCUGAUGUGUGUGCAGGGGGUGCCUGGUACAGAGGGACAGCAACCACAGAGCACUGCAGACGCCAAGACAUGACCUGGGAGAAGCAGCAGCCCCGGGAGAGGCUUAACUAGCAGAGCACUGAGGCCCACCGACAGCCAUGUGCAUGAGCUUGGAAGCACAUCUCCCCAACCCACCCCAGUCAAGCCUGCAGAUGAGACCUCAGCUGCAGCUGACAACUCGGCUACAACUUUGUGAGAGACCUGGAGCCAAAAGCACCUAGCUAAGCUGUGCCUGUAUUUCUGACCCACAGAAACUCUGAGAUUGUUCCAGCUUUUGCCAGUGGAAGCCCCUCCAAGAUGGAGAAGCUCUACUUUAAAUUCCAGGCCCCUAAGGAAAGCCUCUGGAUCUCCAGGCCUGCCCCCUAUCUCUACAGCCCAGAGGAGGUGACAUUAACCAGUGCAUCUGAGUGGUGCAGAGGAAAACUGACUUUGAUGUCCAUAUAAACCCAGUGCCCAGGUCAUGUCUGUUCUCCACUGGCAAUGGGCUGAGCAGAGCCAAGUUCUCAGUUAACUUCCCCAGCCCUCCCUCCUGCCUAACUCCAUUCCCACCCCCGACUUGAACUUCCUAAAGGCAGUGAGUGAGAUUAAAGGCUUGAUCAAUGAAAAC